RNAcentral lists this ribosomal RNA (253 nucleotides) under uncultured bacterium. RNAcentral describes it as "partial 16S ribosomal RNA". It matches the Rfam family "Bacterial small subunit ribosomal RNA", at positions 524 to 776 of the family's 1533-position model. The record is from RNAcentral.
UACAGAGGGGGCAAGCGUUGUUCGGAAUUACUGGGCGUAAAGGGCGCGUAGGCGGCCCGCUAAGUCGAACGUGAAAUCCCCGAGCUCAACUCGGGAACUGCGUCCGAUACUGGUGGGCUUGAAUCCGGGAGAGGGAUGCGGAAUUCCAGGUGUAGCGGUGAAAUGCGUAGAUAUUGGGAAGAACACCUGAGGCGAAGGCGGGUUGCUGGGCUGACACUGACGCUGAGGCGCGAAAGCCAGGGGAGCGAACGGG